AGAAAUGUAAUUAGGCUGAUCAUUUGCCCAUGCAUGGUAAAGUUUACUAUGAAUGAAACACUGCAGUGAGUUUUCAUCGAGCUUCUGUAUAGCAGCCCUUUUCUCUCUCCUACUCUAACAAGUGUAAUCCUGCAACACAAAAUUGUGCAAUUCAUGAGUAAUUCAUUGCUCAGUUUCUUAUUCAUCUACGUUUUGCGUAAGGGUCUCGUGGAAAUUAGCCAUCUUCUGAGUCCUUUCACAGCAGAGAGAAAGCGAGUGAGUCACACCCUGGAACGUAAGGGUUCUUACACUGUAAGAUGAUGUGCUAAGAACUGAAGACCGCACAAUUUGGGGGGAUGAAGGCAGAGAUGUGAUUGAAAAAGCAUACUAAUAUAAUGUACAUGUGUGAGAAAGAGCUAAUACUGAAGUGAACAAGUGCAACAGAACUAAGGUAAAUAAUGACAAAACUUAUUAUUCUAUUUCUUUGUUGCCUUCAUAUUCUAAGCCUUCCCAACCCACUUCAAAUAAUAAUGUUUCAGCUCUCUACUUCACAGUUUGAGCUUCCACUUAAAUUUUGUUAUUGCAGCUAUCCUGGGUCAUGUAUGCUUAUUUUUGUUUUUCAAAAAAUGCAGGCUCAUCUUUCAGUUAAUUAAACAUUAGUUCUUUAUGUGGAAGAGGAGUUGUUUUAAUGGAUCACAACUCAUACACUACUAAUACUCACAGCAGAGAUGAAUUACAGUUACUUCACAAUAAUAUGACAUGUAAAUAAUGUACUGUUGGGAAGGUACAUCACAAAUUUUACUUUAUUGAAAUUUUCUAAGUAUUACUGACAGGGCCUAAUAUUCUAGUAGUUCUUCACACAUUUAUCAAAUAAAAAAAACACUCUUGAAUAAAUAUCAAAAAUGUUGUACGAAGGGUGAUCGGAUAGAAGUAAUUAUUCAUGAUUUUGCAUAAACAAGCUAACGAACACUGGAGCCAUUUUUAAUAUUGCAACAGAACACCUACUUUGAAGGAGUAAAUCUCUUCUAAACGCUCAUUACUCAUUUUAAAUGAAAGAUAAUUUUAUUGUCCUGUGUUACACAGAAAUAGUACUGAUGGUCAUAGCCAUUUCAAAGAAAUGGCUUGUUUGUAAAGCUUUUAUUUACACUGUAGAAAGAAGGA
Long non-coding RNA from Gallus gallus (chicken), 1140 nucleotides. RefSeq lists it as uncharacterized. The record is from RefSeq and is a predicted model, not a curated record. The transcript is spliced from 4 exons. NCBI's taxonomy places the organism in Eukaryota, Metazoa, Chordata, Aves, Galliformes, Phasianidae.